AUGCCGCUCAAGCUCGUGUUCAUCGUCGUUGCUCCGGUGGCCUUGACGUGCGGCAUACUGCAACUCUCCGGCGUCCCCUGGCGAACCAAUGUAGGCAUCGGCAGCGUUCUGCUCGCCUUCCUCUUCGUCGUCGGGCUGUGCGAGCGCCUGCGCUCUGGCGCUAGGCCGCAUCGCCAGCUCCCGCAACAACCGGAGAGGGACCAGUCCAUGGCAGCACUUCCACGGGAACCGGCCGUGGGGCUAGGCCGGGCGGCGAUCGCCGGCCUGCCCGUGUACAAGUACGAGAAGCUGAGGUGCGGCGGCGGAGAGAGCCACGAGUGCGCGGUGUGCCUCGCCGAGGUCAGGCCCAAGGAGGUGGUGAAGCAGCUGCCGGCGUGCACGCACCUCUUCCAUGACCGGUGCAUCGAUGAGUGGCUCUGGUCUCACAGGACGUGCCCGGUCUGCCGGUCUCCGGUUGUUGCCUCCACUGUGCCGGCCGUCGAAGUUGCUGCCCGUGCUAUGCAAUCUGUCUAG
RNAcentral lists this ribosomal RNA (513 nucleotides) under Triticum aestivum (bread wheat). RNAcentral's name for it is "partial small subunit ribosomal RNA". Lineage: Eukaryota; Viridiplantae; Streptophyta; Magnoliopsida; Poales; Poaceae. The record is from RNAcentral.